This 1215-nucleotide ribosomal RNA is filed under the name Bacillus sp. (in: firmicutes). RNAcentral's name for it is "bacterial SSU rRNA". It matches the Rfam family "Bacterial small subunit ribosomal RNA", at positions 54 to 1255 of the family's 1533-position model. Lineage: Bacteria; Bacillati; Bacillota; Bacilli; Caryophanales; Bacillaceae. The record is from RNAcentral.
AAUGCAGUCGAGCGGAAGAUGGGAGCUUGCUCCCUGAUGUUAGCGGCGGACGGGUGAGUAACACGUGGGUAACCUGCCUGUAAGACUGGGAUAACUCCGGGAAACCGGGGCUAAUACCGGAUGGUUGUUUGAACCGCAUGGUUCAAACAUAAAAGGUGGCUUCGGCUACCACUUACAGAUGGACCCGCGGCGCAUUAGCUAGUUGGUGAGGUAACGGCUCACCAAGGCGACGAUGCGUAGCCGACCUGAGAGGGUGAUCGGCCACACUGGGACUGAGACACGGCCCAGACUCCUACGGGAGGCAGCAGUAGGGAAUCUUCCGCAAUGGACGAAAGUCUGACGGAGCAACGCCGCGUGAGUGAUGAAGGUUUUCGGAUCGUAAAGCUCUGUUGUUAGGGAAGAACAAGUACCGUUCGAAUAGGGCGGUACCUUGACGGUACCUAACCAGAAAGCCACGGCUAACUACGUGCCAGCAGCCGCGGUAAUACGUAGGUGGCAAGCGUUGUCCGGAAUUAUUGGGCGUAAAGGGCUCGCAGGCGGUUUCUUAAGUCUGAUGUGAAAGCCCCCGGCUCAACCGGGGAGGGUCAUUGGAAACUGGGGAACUUGAGUGCAGAAGAGGAGAGUGGAAUUCCACGUGUAGCGGUGAAAUGCGUAGAGAUGUGGAGGAACACCAGUGGCGAAGGCGACUCUCUGGUCUGUAACUGACGCUGAGGAGCGAAAGCGUGGGGAGCGAACAGGAUUAGAUACCCUGGUAGUCCACGCCGUAAACGAUGAGUGCUAAGUGUUAGGGGGUUUCCGCCCCUUAGUGCUGCAGCUAACGCAUUAAGCACUCCGCCUGGGGAGUACGGUCGCAAGACUGAAACUCAAAGGAAUUGACGGGGGCCCGCACAAGCGGUGGAGCAUGUGGUUUAAUUCGAAGCAACGCGAAGAACCUUACCAGGUCUUGACAUCCUCUGACAAUCCUAGAGAUAGGACGUCCCCUUCGGGGGCAGAGUGACAGGUGGUGCAUGGUUGUCGUCAGCUCGUGUCGUGAGAUGUUGGGUUAAGUCCCGCAACGAGCGCAACCCUUGAUCUUAGUUGCCAGCAUUCAGUUGGGCACUCUAAGGUGACUGCCGGUGACAAACCGGAAGAAAGGUGGGGAUGACGUCAAAUCAUCAUGCCCCUUAUGACCUGGCUACACACGUGCUACAAUGGACAGAACAAAGGCACCAAACC